This 465-nucleotide ribosomal RNA is filed under the name uncultured bacterium. Its description in RNAcentral is "partial 16S ribosomal RNA". It matches the Rfam family "Bacterial small subunit ribosomal RNA", at positions 338 to 795 of the family's 1533-position model. The record is from RNAcentral.
CCUACGGGUGGCAGCAGUAGGGAAUAUUGCACAAUGAGCGAAAGCCUGACGCAGCGACGCCGCGUGCAGGAUGAAGGUCUUCGGAUCGUAAACCUCUGUCAGAAGGGAAGAACGGUCACUGUACGAAUCAGUAGUGAAUUGACGGUACCUUGAAAGGAAGCACCGGCUAACUCCGUGCCAGCAGCCGCGGUAAUACGGAGGGUGCGAGCGUUUAUCGGAAUUACUGGGCGUAAAGCGCUCGUAGGCGGUAUGUUAAGUCAAGGGUGAAAUCCCCGAGCUCAACGUCCGAAUCGCCUUUGAUACUGGCAAACUAGAGUUUGUGAGAGGAUAGUGGAAUUCCAUGUGUAGCAGUGAAAUCCGUAGAUAUCUGGAAGAACAUCAGUGGCGAAGGCGACUAUCUGGUACAUAACUGACGCUGAGGAGCGAAAGCGUGGGGAGCAAACAGGAUUAGAUACCCGAGUAGUC